AUGUCUAUUUUAGUUGAUAAAGAAGACUUACAAUUGUGUGAAACUUUGAACAAUGAACAACAGCUUGCUUUUGAUGACAUAAUGAACCAUGUUACACAAAAGAAGGGUAAGGUCUUCUUCAUUGAUGGUCCAGGAGGCACACGGAAGACAUACCUUUAUAAAGCCUUGCUGGCUAAAGUGCGGUCCAUGGGACUAAUAGCCAUCACAACAGCAACAUCAGGCAUCGCGGCUUCUAUUAUGCCCGGUGGCAGGACUGCCCAUUCCAGAUUUAAAAUACCAAUAAAUAUUCAAGAAGACACUAUGUGCAACUUCACUAAGCAAAGUGGAACAGCAGAAUUACUUCAAAGAUCAUCUUUGAUAAUUUGGGAUGAAGUUGCCAUGACAAAACGACAAGCCGUUGAGGCACUUGAUAGAACUCUUCAAGAUAUUACAGGUUGUGCAUCACCAUUUGGAGGAAAGACAAUAGUGUUUUGGGGUGAUUUCAGGCAAGUCCUCCCUGUGGUGAGGCGUGGCACCAGAGCACAAAUUGUUAAUGCCACACUUAAAAAAUCUUAUCUCUGGGAGGAUAUGAUACAAAUAAAACUCAAACACAAUAUGAGAGCAAAAUCUGAUUCAUGGUUCUCUGAUUUUCUUUUGAGAAUUGGAAAUGGUACUGAAGAAUCAAUUGGUGAAGACUAUGUGCGGCUGCCUGAAGAGAUAGUUAUAGGUUACACAAAUUCAAAAGCGGCUGUUACUAAGUUGAUCAAUGAUGUAUUUCCAUCGCUUAAUGAGAAUGGUACAUCACCAUAUUACAUAAGUUCCCGUGCCAUUCUUUCCACUAAAAAUGAAUAUGUGGAUGAACUAAAUGCAAUGCUUAUAGACCAAUUUCCUGGAGAAGAAAAAAUAUACUACAGUUUUGACUCAGCAGUGGAUGAUACACACAAUCACUACCCACCUGAAUACCUAAAUUCUCUCACACCUAAUGGCCUACCUCCACAUGUUCUUAGAUUGAAGAUCAAUUGUCCGGUCAUCUUGCUUCGAAAUUUAGAUCCAUCUAAUGGGCUAUGCAAUGGCACGAGGCUCAUUAUUAGGGCAUUUCAAGAUAAUGUUAUUGAUGCAGAGAUUAUUGGAGGACAACAUUCUGGAAAACAAAAUUUUCUUCCAUGA
RNAcentral lists this ribosomal RNA (1146 nucleotides) under Triticum aestivum (bread wheat). RNAcentral describes it as "partial small subunit ribosomal RNA". Lineage: Eukaryota; Viridiplantae; Streptophyta; Magnoliopsida; Poales; Poaceae. The record is from RNAcentral.